UGCGGCCGCGAUACCGGUUGAUCCUGCCGGACCCGACCGCUAUCGGGGUGGGGCUAAGCCAUGGAAGUCGCACGCCCACUAAGUAGUGGGCGUGGCGGACGGCUGAGUAACACGUGGCUAACCUACCCUCAGGACAGGGAUAGUCCCGGGAAACUGGGACUAAUCCCUGAUAGGUGGGGAUACCUGGAAUGGUCCCCACCGAAAGGGUCAGACCGCAAUGCAGGUCUGACCGCCUGAGGAUGGGGCUGCGGCCCAUCAUGGUAG
Molecule: ribosomal RNA, 264 nt
Filed under: Ignisphaera aggregans
Lineage: Archaea; Thermoproteati; Thermoproteota; Thermoprotei; Desulfurococcales; Desulfurococcaceae
Description: partial 16S ribosomal RNA
Rfam family: Archaeal small subunit ribosomal RNA
Source: RNAcentral